Molecule: transfer RNA, 71 nt
Filed under: Ophichthus brevicaudatus
Lineage: Eukaryota; Metazoa; Chordata; Actinopteri; Anguilliformes; Ophichthidae
Description: tRNA-Tyr
Rfam family: tRNA
About the family: Transfer RNA (tRNA) molecules are approximately 80 nucleotides in length. Their secondary structure includes four short double-helical elements and three loops (D, anti-codon, and T loops).
Source: RNAcentral
GGUAAGAUGGCUGAGUGCUUAGGCGGUGGGCUGUAGACCCAUAAACAGGGGUUUAAGUCCCCUUCUUAUCA